This 490-nucleotide ribosomal RNA is filed under the name uncultured bacterium. RNAcentral's name for it is "partial 16S ribosomal RNA". It matches the Rfam family "Bacterial small subunit ribosomal RNA", at positions 30 to 507 of the family's 1533-position model. The record is from RNAcentral.
AUUGAACGCUGGCGGCAGGCCUAACACAUGCAAGUCGAACGGUAACAGGAAGAAGCUUGCUUCUUUGCUGACGAGUGGCGGACGGGUGUGUCAUGUCUGGGACACUGCCUGAUGGAGGGGGAUAACUACUGGAAACGGUAGCUAAUACCGCAUAACGUCGCAAGCCCAAAGUGGGGGACCUUCGGGCCUCUUGCCAUUGGAUGUGCCCAGAUGGGAUUAGCUAGUAGGUGGGGUAACGGCUCACCUAGGCGACGAUCCCUAGCUGGUCUGAGAGGAUGACCAGCCACACUGGAACUGAGACACGGUCCAGACUCCUACGGGAGGCAGCAGUGGGGAAUAUUGCGCAAUGGGCGCAAGCCUGAUGCAGCCAUGCCGCGUGUAUGAAGAAGGCCUUCGGGUUGUAAAGUACUUUCAGCGGGGAGGAAGGGAGUAAAGUUAAUACCUUUGCUCAUUGACGUUACCCGCAGAAGAAGCACCGGCUAACUCCGUG